UACGUAGGGACCGAGCGUUGUCCGGAAUCAUUGGGCGUAAAAGAGCGUGUAGGCGGCCACUUAAGUCCUGCGUGAAAUCUUGCGGCUCAACCGCAAGCGGUCGUGGGAAACUGGGUGGCUAGAGUGCGGGAGAGGAGAGUGGAAUUCCUGGUGUAGCGGUGGAAUGCGCAGAUAUCAGGAAGAACACCCGUGGCGAAGGCGGCUCUCUGGAACGCAACUGACGCUGAGACGCGAAAGCGUGGGGAGCAAACAGG
RNAcentral lists this ribosomal RNA (254 nucleotides) under uncultured bacterium. RNAcentral describes it as "partial 16S ribosomal RNA". It matches the Rfam family "Bacterial small subunit ribosomal RNA", at positions 524 to 776 of the family's 1533-position model. The record is from RNAcentral.